RNAcentral lists this ribosomal RNA (468 nucleotides) under uncultured bacterium. Its description in RNAcentral is "partial 16S ribosomal RNA". It matches the Rfam family "Bacterial small subunit ribosomal RNA", at positions 28 to 507 of the family's 1533-position model. The record is from RNAcentral.
GACGAACGCUGGCGGCGUGCUUAACACAUGCAAGUCGAACGGAAAGGCCCUGCUUUUGUGGGGUGCUCGAGUGGCGAACGGGUGAGUAACACGUGAGUAACCUGCCCUUGACUUUGGGAUAACUUCAGGAAACUGGGGCUAAUACCGGAUAGGAGCUCCUGCUGCAUGGUGGGGGUUGGAACGUUUCGGCGGUUGGGGAUGGACUCGCGGCUUAUCAGCUUGUUGGUGGGGUAGUGGCUUACCAAGGCUUUGACGGGUAGCCGGCCUGAGAGGGUGACCGGCCACAUGGGGACUGAGAUACGGCCCAGACUCCUACGGGAGGCAGCAGUGGGGAAUAUUGCACAAUGGGCGGAAGCCUGAUGCAGCAACGCCGCGUGCGGGAUGACGGCCUUCGGGUUGUAAACCGCUUUCGCCUGUGACGAAGCGUGAGUGACGGUAAUGGGUAAAGAAGCACCGGCUAACUACGUG